UACGUAGGGUGCAAGCGUUGUCCGGAAUUAUUGGGCGUAAAGAGCUCGUAGGCGGUUUGUCGCGUCUGCUGUGAAAACGCGAGGCUCAACCUCGCGCCUGCAGUGGGUACGGGCAGACUAGAGUGCGGUAGGGGAGAUUGGAAUUCCUGGUGUAGCGGUGGAAUGCGCAGAUAUCAGGAGGAACACCGGUGGCGAAGGCGGGUCUCUGGGCCAAAACUGACGCUGAGGAGCGAAAGCGUGGGGAGCGAACAGG
This 253-nucleotide ribosomal RNA is filed under the name uncultured bacterium. Its description in RNAcentral is "partial 16S ribosomal RNA". It matches the Rfam family "Bacterial small subunit ribosomal RNA", at positions 524 to 776 of the family's 1533-position model. The record is from RNAcentral.